GUGGGGAAUAUUGCACAAUGGGCGGAAGCCUGAUGCAGCAACGCCGCGUGCGGGAUGACGGCCUUCGGGUUGUAAACCGCUUUCAGCAGGGACGAAGCGCAAGUGACGGUACCUGCAGAAGAAGCACCGGCUAACUACGUGCCAGCCGCCGCGGUGAGACGUAGGGUGCGAGCGUUGUCCGGAUUUAUUGGGCGUAAAGAGCUUGUAGGCGGUUGGUUGCGUCGAAAGUGCAAACUCAGGGCUUAACUCUGAGCCUGCUUUCGAGACGGGCUGACUGGAGGAAGGUAGGGGAGAAUGGAAUUCCCGGUGGAGCGGUGGAAUGCGCAGAUAUCGGGAGGAACACCAGUGGCGAAGGCGGUUCUCUGGACCUUUCCUGACGCUGAGAAGCGAAAGCGUGGGGAGCAAACAGGCUUAGAUACCAUAGUAGUCC
Molecule: ribosomal RNA, 430 nt
Filed under: uncultured bacterium
Lineage: Bacteria
Description: bacterial SSU rRNA
Rfam family: Bacterial small subunit ribosomal RNA
Source: RNAcentral